UCGCGCGCGCAGUUCCGUAGCAAUACGGGAUGGGCGCACGGCGCACGGGAUGCGUAACACGUUGGGCAAUCUGCCCUCUGAUGGGGAAUAACCCGCCGAAAGGCGGGCUAAUUCCGCAUAAGAUUCCCGGAACUUCGGUUCUGGGAUUGAAAGCCGUAAUGCGUCCGAGGAGGAGCCCGCGCCCGAUUAGCUAGUUGGUGAGGUAACGGCUCACCAAGGCCAUGAUCGGUAGCUUGUCUGAGAGGAUGAUCAGCCACACUGGAACUGAGACACUGUCCAGACUCCUACGGGAGGCAGCAGUGGGGAAUCUUGCACAAUGGGCGAAAGCCUGAUGCAGCGACGCCGCGUGGGGGAUGAAGCAUUUCGGUGUGUAAACCCCUUUCGACUGGGAAGAAUGCCUCGCAAGAGGAGUGACGGUACCAGUAAAAGAAGCCCCGGCUAACUACGUGCCACCAGCCGCGGAAAGACGUAGGGGGCCAGCGUUGUUCGGAUUUACUGGGUGUAAAGGGUUCGUAGGCGGUGCGGCAAGUUGGGAGUGAAAUCUCUGGGCUUAACCCAGAGGCUGCUUCCAAAACUGCUGUGCUCGAGUGUGAGAGAGGCUCGUGGAAUUGCAGGUGUAGCGGUGAAAUGCGUAGAUAUCUGCAGGAACACCCGUGGCGAAAGCGGCGAACUGGAUCACUACUGACGCUGAGGAACGAAAGCUAGGGGAGCAAACAGGAAUUCAUAACCCUGUUGGUCCUAGCCCUAAACGAUCAAUGACUUGAGGUGCCGCCCGUUCGGGCGUCGUCCCGGGAGCUAACGCGUUUAAGUCCUGCACCUGGGGAGUACGGUCGCAAGACUUGAAACUCAAAGGAAUUGACGG
This 862-nucleotide ribosomal RNA is filed under the name uncultured soil bacterium. RNAcentral describes it as "bacterial SSU rRNA". It matches the Rfam family "Bacterial small subunit ribosomal RNA", at positions 62 to 916 of the family's 1533-position model. The record is from RNAcentral.